UCGGACAUGGUGUACGGAACACCGCCAGCUUUCUUGAGAUGUGUUGAACAGCAAGUCGCCGGCAGUCCGGGGUUCGACCCCCCGUGUCCGAA
Non-coding RNA from Mycena olivaceomarginata, 92 nucleotides. Lineage: Eukaryota; Fungi; Basidiomycota; Agaricomycetes; Agaricales; Mycenaceae. The record is from the annotation of a GenBank genome assembly.